RNAcentral lists this ribosomal RNA (279 nucleotides) under Candida albicans. Its description in RNAcentral is "partial 28S ribosomal RNA". It matches the Rfam family "Eukaryotic large subunit ribosomal RNA", at positions 1 to 274 of the family's 3401-position model. Lineage: Eukaryota; Fungi; Ascomycota; Pichiomycetes; Serinales; Debaryomycetaceae. The record is from RNAcentral.
UUUGACCUCAAAUCAGGUAGGACUACCCGCUGAACUUAAGCAUAUCAAUAAGCGGAGGAAAAGAAACCAACAGGGAUUGCCUCAGUAGCGGCGAGUGAAGCGGCAAAAGCUCAAAUUUGAAAUCUGGCGUCUUUGGCGUCCGAGUUGUAAUUUGAAGAAGGUAUCUUUGGGCCCGGCUCUUGUCUAUGUUCCUUGGAACAGGACGUCACAGAGGGUGAGAAUCCCGUGCGAUGAGAUGACCCGGGUCUGUGUAAAGUUCCUUCGACGAGUCGAGUUGUU